AGUGUAGCGGUGAAAUGCGUAGAUAUUAGGAAGAACACCAGUGGCGAAGGCGACUUUCUGGACGAAAACUGACGNUGAGGCGCGAAAGCCAGGGGAGCGAACGGGAUUAGAUACCCCGGUAGUCCUGGCCGUAAACGAUGGGUACUAGGUGUAGGAGGUAUCGACCCNUUCUGUGCCGGAGUUAACGCAAUAAGUACCCCGCCUGGGGAGUACGACCGCAAGGUUGAAACUCAAAGGAAUUGACGGGGGCCCGCACAAGCGGUGGAGUAUGUGGUUUAAUUCGACGCAACGCGAAGAACCUUACCAGGUCUUGACAUUGAUGGACAGAACUAGAGAUAGUUCCUCUUCUUCGGAAGCCAGAAAACAGGUGGUGCACGGUUGUCGUCAGCUCGUGUCGUGAGAUGUUGGGUUANNNNNNNCAACGAGCGCAACCCCUAUCUUAUGUUGCCAGCACGUAAAGGUGGGAACUCAUGAGAGACUGCCGCAGACAAUGCGGAGGAAGGCGGGGAUGACGUCAAAUCAUCAUGCCCCUUAUGACCUGGGCUACACACGUACUACAAUGGGAGUUAAUAGACGGAAGCGAGAUCGCGAGAUGGAGCAAACCCGAGAAACACUCUCUCAGUUCGGAUCGUAGGCUGCAACUCGCCUACGUGAAGUCGGAAUCGCUAGUAAUCGCAGGUCAGCAUACUGCGGUGAAUACGUUCCCGGGCCU
This 712-nucleotide ribosomal RNA is filed under the name uncultured bacterium. Its description in RNAcentral is "bacterial SSU rRNA". It matches the Rfam family "Bacterial small subunit ribosomal RNA", at positions 672 to 1381 of the family's 1533-position model. The record is from RNAcentral.